RNAcentral lists this ribosomal RNA (922 nucleotides) under Goniomonas pacifica. RNAcentral's name for it is "partial Eukaryotic large subunit ribosomal RNA". It matches the Rfam family "Eukaryotic large subunit ribosomal RNA", at positions 16 to 941 of the family's 3401-position model. The record is from RNAcentral. Lineage: Eukaryota; Cryptophyceae; Goniomonadida; Goniomonadaceae.
CGAGAACACCCGCUGAGUUUAAGCAUAUAAUUAAGCGGAGGAAAAGAAACUUACAAGGAUUCCCCUAGUAGCGGCGAGCGAACCGGGAAGAGCCCAGCAUGAAAAUCCGGCGGCAGCGUCGCCUGAAUUGUAGUCUGUAGAAGCGUCCUCAGCGGCGGACCUGGGCCAAGUCCCUUGGAAGGGGGCGCCUGAGAGGGUGACAGCCCCGUCGGCCCGGGACCCUGCCGCAUCACGAGGCGUUGUCGGCGAGUCGGGUUGUUUGGGAAUGCAGCCCUAAUUGGGUGGUAAAUUCCGUCCAAGGCUAAAUACUGGCGAGAGACCGAUAGCGAACAAGUACCGCGAGGGAAAGAUGAAAAGGACUUUGAAAAGAGAGUCAAAGAGUGCUUGAAAUUGUCGGGAGGGAAGCGGAUGGGGGCCGGCGAUGCGCCCCGGUCGGAUGUGGAACGGCGACGAGCCGGUCCGCCGAUCGACUCGGGGCGUGGACCAGCACGAAUUGAGGCGGCGGCCAAAGCCCGGGCAGUCGAUAUGCCCGUGGAAUGCCGUCGCCCCGAUUGUGGCGGACAGCGCGCGCCCUCGGCGUGCUUCGGCAUCUGCGCGCUCCCGGUGCUGGCCUGCGGGCUCCCCAUUCGACCCGUCUUGUAACACGGACCAAGGAGUCUGACAUGUGUGCGAGUCAACGGGCGAGUAAACCCGUAAGGCGCAAGGAAGCUGACUGGUGGGAUCCCCCCGAGGGGUGCACCGCCGACCGACCUCGAUCUUCUGAGAAGGGUUUGAGUGUGAGCAUACCUGUCGGGACCCGAAAGAUGGUGAACUAUGCCUGAGCAGGGCGAAGCCAGAGGAAACUCUGGUGGAGGCUCGCAGCGGUUCUGACGUGCAAAUCGAUCGUCAAAUUUGCGUAUAGGGGCGAAAGACUAAUCGAACC